AACGAACGCUGGCGGCAUGCCUAACACAUGCAAGUCGAACGAAGGCUUCGGCCUUAGUGGCGCACGGGUGCGUAACGCGUGGGAAUCUGCCCUUGGGUUCGGAAUAACUCAGAGAAAUUUGAGCUAAUACCGGAUGAUGACGUAAGUCCAAAGAUUUAUCGCCCAAGGAUGAGCCCGCGUAAGAUUAGCUAGUUGGUGGGGUAAAGGCCUACCAAGGCGACGAUCUUUAGCUGGUCUGAGAGGAUGAUCAGCCACACUGGGACUGAGACACGGUCCAGACUCCUACGGGAGGCAGCAGUGGGGAAUUUUGGACAAUGGGGGCAACCCUGAUCCAGCCAUGCCGCGUGAGUGAAGAAGGCCUCGGUUGUAAGACUCUUUCGGUCAGGAACGAAACGGUACGUUCCCUAACUACGGAGGGCGUAAUGACGGUAC
This 432-nucleotide ribosomal RNA is filed under the name uncultured bacterium. RNAcentral's name for it is "bacterial SSU rRNA". It matches the Rfam family "Bacterial small subunit ribosomal RNA", at positions 29 to 483 of the family's 1533-position model. The record is from RNAcentral.